AGCAGCCGCGGUAAUUCCAGCUCCAAUAGCGUAUAUUAAAGUUGUUGCAGUUAAAAAGCUCGUAGUUGAAUUUCGAGACCGGCUUACUGGUCGUGCUAUUGUACGUACUGGUAUAAUCGGUUUCUCCUUCCUGAUGAACUGUAAUGCCAUUAAUUUGGUGUUGCAGGGAAUCUGGACUGUUACUUUGAAAAAAU
This 194-nucleotide ribosomal RNA is filed under the name uncultured Glomus. RNAcentral describes it as "partial 18S ribosomal RNA". It matches the Rfam family "Eukaryotic small subunit ribosomal RNA", at positions 569 to 766 of the family's 1831-position model. The record is from RNAcentral. Lineage: Eukaryota; Fungi; Glomeromycota; Glomeromycetes; Glomerales; Glomeraceae.